UGGGGAAUAUUGCACAAUGGAGGGAACUAGGAUGCAGCGACGCCGCGUGAACGAAGAAGGCUUUCGAGUCGUAAAGUUCUUUUAUAUGGGAAGAUAAUGACGGUACCAUAAGAAAAAGCCCCGGCUAACUACGUGCCAGCAGCCGCGGUAAUACGUAGGGGGCUAGCGUUGUCCGGAAUCACUGGGCGUAAAGGGUUCGCAGGCGGAAAUGCAAGUCAGGUGUAAAAGGCAGUAGCUUAACUACUGUAAGCAUUUGAAACUGCAUAUCUUGAGAAGAGUAGAGGUAAGUGGAAUUUUUAGUGUAGCGGUGAAAUGCGUAGAUAUUAAAAAGAAUACCGGUGGCGAAGGCGACUUACUGGGCUCAUUCUGACGCUGAGGAACGAAAGCGUGGGUAGCAAACAGG
This 403-nucleotide ribosomal RNA is filed under the name Fusobacteriota bacterium. RNAcentral describes it as "Fusobacteria bacterium partial 16S ribosomal RNA". It matches the Rfam family "Bacterial small subunit ribosomal RNA", at positions 355 to 776 of the family's 1533-position model. Lineage: Bacteria; Fusobacteriati; Fusobacteriota. The record is from RNAcentral.